GCCACUUGUCAUUAACCCGUAGAUCCGAUCUUGUGAUAAGUUUGAUGGCACAAGCUCGAUUCUAUGGGUCUCUGUCUCUGUGGU
This is a microRNA precursor of Danio rerio (zebrafish), 84 nucleotides long. Ensembl annotates it as microRNA 99-1. Its record names the gene dre-mir-99-1. Lineage: Eukaryota; Metazoa; Chordata; Actinopteri; Cypriniformes; Danionidae. The record is from Ensembl.